AGCCUUCUGAAUCCGUGCCGAGAUUCCGUCAGACACCAAACCAUCAGGGCUGAUGAUACACGAGAUAAAUGAAGCG
Molecule: non-coding RNA, 76 nt
Organism: Schistosoma rodhaini
Lineage: Eukaryota; Metazoa; Platyhelminthes; Trematoda; Strigeidida; Schistosomatidae
Source: Rfam